GACGAACGCUGGCGGCGUGCCUAAUACAUGCAAGUCGAACGCACAGUUUAUACCGUAGCUUGCUACACCAUAGACUGUGAGUUGCGAACGGGUGAGUAACGCGUAGGUAACCUGCCUGGUAGCGGGGGAUAACUAUUGGAAACGAUAGCUAAUACCGCAUAAUAUUAAUUAUUGCAUGAUAAUUAAUUGAAAGGUGCAAUUGCACCACUACCAGAUGGACCUGCGUUGUAUUAGCUAGUAGGUGAGGGAACGGCUCACCUAGGCGACGAUACAUAGCCGACCUGAGAGGGUGAUCGGCCACACUGGGACUGAGACACGGCCCAGACUCCUACGGGAGGCAGCAGUAGGGAAUCUUCGGCAAUGGACGAAAGUCUGACCGAGCAACGCCGCGUGAGUGAAGAAGGUUUUCGGAUCGUAAAGCUCUGUUGUAAGAGAAGAACGGGUGUGAGAGUGGAAAGUUCACACUGUGACGGUAUCUUACCAGAAAGGGACGGCUAACUACGUG
RNAcentral lists this ribosomal RNA (505 nucleotides) under uncultured bacterium. RNAcentral describes it as "partial 16S ribosomal RNA". It matches the Rfam family "Bacterial small subunit ribosomal RNA", at positions 28 to 507 of the family's 1533-position model. The record is from RNAcentral.